Long non-coding RNA from Nomascus leucogenys (northern white-cheeked gibbon), 3391 nucleotides. RefSeq lists it as uncharacterized. Lineage: Eukaryota; Metazoa; Chordata; Mammalia; Primates; Hylobatidae. The record is from RefSeq and is a predicted model, not a curated record. The transcript is spliced from 2 exons.
UCUCGAAUUUCUGGCCUCAAGUGAUCUGGCCGCCUUGUCACCUAGCUUUUGGCAUUUCAUAGAAAUGUUUAAUAAUAGAAUUUAUAAGUCAUUUCAUAUAUGUUAAAAUACUUUUAUAUUUCUUACGUUUGAUCUUCACAAACCUAAAAUGCCAGCAUUAUUAUCCCUGUUUUACAAAUCUGGAAUCGUGAAACAUUACCUCUUUUUCUUUAAUUCAGGUGGAGAAAUAUCUUUCAGCCUGAGUGGACAUUUUUAAGGACAAUGCUAUGGACUGAAUGUUUGUGUCCCCCAAACUUCAUAUGUUGACAUCCUAAUCUUUAAUGUGAUAGUAUUGGGAAGUGAAGCUUUAGGAAAUAAUUAGGUCAUAAGGCUGAAGCCCUUGUAAGUGGGAUUAGUGCCCUUAUAAAGAGGAUCCCAGAGAGUUCUCUAGCUAUCUUUCUACCAUGUGAGGACACAGUAAGAAGUCAACUAUUUGCAACCCAAAAGAGGGUCCUCACCAGAACCUGGUGGUGCAGGAACCGUGAUCUCAGACUUCCAGCCUCCAGAACUGUGACAAAUAGAUUUCUUGUUGGUAAGCCCACCAGUUUAUGAUAUUUUAUUAUUGCAGCUGGAGCUGACUCAGGCAGAAAUCACAUUAACAGAAUGCCGUUAGUAGUUCCAAUGAACUUGCAUCAUGGGAUGCUAGAAUCAUGGAAAUUGGAUAGGGAAAUAGAGCAUCUGUUCUCUCAGCAAGACAUUUCCAAAUCAGUUUUCCUAUCUGUAAGAGGAAAGGAAGGUUUUGUUUUUGUUUCUUAAGCAGCCGUUUAUUGUGUGCCUGCCAUUUGUUAGAUGCUAUUUUAGGGACUUUCCUUACUUUAUGUCUUUUAAUUUUCAGUCAACUAUUAAGAGAAAUAAUAUUCCCACUUUUCAGAUAAGAAAGAUGAGACCUGGACUAAAUGAUUUGCCCAGGGUCACAGAGGAAAGUGUCAGAACCUGAAUUCCACACUGACUCAGUCAACUUCAAAGCCUCUGCCUUAUUUAUUAUAUUAAGAUGCCUUCUAUAACUAAGAGAUAAUGUUCCUAUAAGAAAAAGUGAUCUUGUCUACAUCUGGCUAGCAGAAGAAACUGAUCGGUGUAUCACAGAGAUAGCUAAAUAAUGAAGAACAAGAUGGACUGAGUGGAAUGAACAGCUGUUACAAAUGUAGAAACUAUCAAAGAGCAGUCUAAUUGAGGAGCAGUAUACUGUAGCAGUCAAGAGCAUGGAUCUGAAAUCAGACCAGCCUGGAUUUAAGUUUUGGCUCUACCAUUACCUAGAUGUUUCAUCUUUCUCCAAGUUACACACUCUCAGCCUCAGUUUUCUCACCCAUAAACAAGCAUAUAAGGAUAAUAACCUGUCUCAGGUUGUAAGGAUUAAAGGGAACUUAUAUAAAACCUAUAAUGAAUCUGACUCACUAGGGUCUUAAUAAAUAGUAGCUUCUCUUAUAAGCAGAACAGGGCCAAGUAGUAAUUGCAACUGAGAAGAGAAAAUGCAGUUCAAAGCAAGAUGAAAAGGAUGAGUUAAGUCCCCUAGAGAGCUCAGCCCUACAGGAUUCGAGAUUCUCAUUCAUUCAUACCUUCCCUCCCUUCUCAUUUUUCUUCUUCAACUACUUCCCUCUUUUCCUCUCUGCCCACCAAACAUUAUGCUAGACUCCACAUGCAGCAUCUCAUUUUGUCCAUCCACCUUGAGCUUGCUUUUGCCCUGCUCUCCUCGGUGUAGAAUUCUCUUCCUCCUGUCCCUCCCUUCACCCCCGCUUCCUGUCUCUGAGCUUCCUUCUCCAGGUUUGCUCCCUCUUUCCAUCAGGUAUCACUUUAUCACCACCUCCUCAAAGAGGCCGUGUUCAUGUCCAGGCCCACAAUCUCAAGUAGCCAUCCUGUGAUUCUGUAUAUUAUCCUUUUUAAACUCUAUGCAGCACUUACUACCUCUGAUGUUUUUCUUCUUUAAGGAUUUGAUUGCCUCAUGUGACAAGCCCAAGAUCUGUGACAGUUGGAGCUCAAACUAGGCAGUCUUGAUUCCACAAUGCUCUGAACUAGUAUUUGAAGGAACUAAUGGCCAUGACAUGUUAAAUGAAAGUUUGGGGACUUACACUCAGGAUGGAAGCGGGGGGACACAACAGAAAUGAAAGAAUUUUCUGUAGAUCUGGCAUCUGGACACCUGCCCCCCUCAUGGUUCCUGGUUGUGGUUGUUGGAAUUCUGCCUGCCAGAUUAGAGGGGAGUUACUGUAACAUGAUAAAUCCCAGUUAUGAUAAAAAAUGUGCUACCCACCUUCUAAUGCCCCUCUUAAGAACCAGAUGUUUUCUAGAAAAAUGUUUCACUCUGCAAUCUGCCUUACAGUGCACAUCAAUGAAUCUGGCACAAUGCCCAUAAAAGCAAUCUGAUCCCAUAAAUGAGGGAUGUGGAGUAAUGAGCAGGUUCUAAAUAUCUUACUUCCGAGUAGUAUAACAUGAGACUCGAUGGCAAUCCUUAAACCAGGCUGCUUUCAAAUUGUAUGUAUGUUAUAUUUGUCUUCCUUCAAACAAAUUCUUUUGGCAAUGUAAAAGAAAUCCUGUUUUUUUUUGUUUUGUUUUGUUUUGUUUUAAGGGGGUAUUUUAAGAAGGUAAUUACUAUUUCCAUUUUCACCAAAAGCAGCCUAGUUUUAUUUUUAAUGGGUAAAUGAUGUAAGAACCUUAAAAAACCACUUGAAACACAGGACAGAGCUGCAAAAUGUUCAGUAGUAUCCUCACUUAUUUCGGGUCGGGCAAUAGGUCCUUUUGCAUAGUUACAGAUUAAACUUUCUUUGAAAAACACACUAAGCUUAAGAACUUUGAGGAAAAAGAAUGCACUAAAACGCUAAGCAGUUACAAAAAUGCUCUUUUCAUACAGUUUAAUAUGUGAAGUUGCUCUAGUAAAUAAAUAAAAACUCCUCCCUUACAUAAUUUCCUGAAGAAUUUUUUUGUCCAAUUUUUCACAUUGACUUAAGUUACAAAUUGCAGAGGAUAGAUUGAGGGGGACUCUGGGUGGGCGCAAGCGCAGGAUAUUGAGAAAUUGCAAGGCCAAAGUUAAAAUGAUUGAAUACAUACCAUGUGAAGAGUCAAGGUGAGGCAACGGGACAAAUGACGUGUCUAGAUUCUGAUGUCACUUACUUGUGUUAAACACAGAAAUCUACUGCCUUUUAUAAAAUGUAUGUGCUGGGUGGUUGUUUUUGUAGAUUUUUUUAAAUGCCCAAUAUUCAUUAUUCAAGUUUCAAUAAAAAUGAUUUUGUUUCUACAAAAAGGAAACAAUUUUUUAAUUUUUUAUUUGGAAAAAAAAUUAAACGUACAGAAAAUUGCAUGAGUAAGAUUGCAAAGACCAUAUAUAUUAAGGUAAACAUUAAAAUAUUGCUAAUAUUUUAAACCA